UUCGGCAAAUAGGAGCUCAUAUAAAAUGAAAAUAUGAAACUCUUAAAAUCUUAACCUAAUGAUUAGAGGCCUUGGGGUCGAAACGAUCUUAACCUAUUCUCAAACUUUAAAUGGGUAAGAACCUUAACUGUCUUGAUAUGAAGUUUAAGGUGAUGAUAUAAUGUGCCCAGUGGGCCACUUUUGGUAAGCAGAACUGGCGCUGUGGGAUGAACCA
This 214-nucleotide ribosomal RNA is filed under the name Drosophila guanche. Its description in RNAcentral is "LSU_rRNA_eukarya". It matches the Rfam family "Eukaryotic large subunit ribosomal RNA", at positions 970 to 1170 of the family's 3401-position model. Lineage: Eukaryota; Metazoa; Arthropoda; Insecta; Diptera; Drosophilidae. The record is from RNAcentral.